Trichonephila clavipes is the source of this 74-nucleotide non-coding RNA. The record is from the annotation of a GenBank genome assembly. NCBI's taxonomy places the organism in Eukaryota, Metazoa, Arthropoda, Arachnida, Araneae, Nephilidae.
GUUCCUGUAGCACAAUGGGUAGUGUGCGUUGGAUUUCUAAUCCUAAGGUAGUGGGUUCGAACCCACCUGGGAUG